This 2980-nucleotide long non-coding RNA is filed under the name Anas platyrhynchos platyrhynchos (common mallard). Its description in RNAcentral is "lncRNA (ENSAPLG00000019042.1)". The record is from RNAcentral. Lineage: Eukaryota; Metazoa; Chordata; Aves; Anseriformes; Anatidae.
UAUUUUUAAAGAUUACUUUUAUUUUUAAAUAACAAGCCUAUUAAGAAUGUUAAGUGUACACGCAUCCACAAAGCCAUGCAAGGCAGUCCUAACCUCUGUCAUGUGGAAGCAUUGCCUGUUCUUGAAACAUUCAUGAAGAGUCUUUUGUCUCAUCCUCUAAGUACCUGGGACUGACUCUGGACUCGCCUCAAUUACUCAGUUUCAGAACUGGAAAAAAAAUGAAUCACAAUGAAUUUUUUAAGCAGAGAUCAAGCUGUUUUCCUGGCAUUGGGUCCUGUUGAAUCUCCUCCUGGUUCCUCAUUACACCGGGCUCUUGCUCUGGCUGAAGUCGCCACAGCAGAGCAGAGGAUGCUUGGAGCCGGAGCUUUCAAAUGCAGUGGCUGGGACUGGCGAGAGGUCAGGCUGCCAUGGCAGGGGGUUUAAAGCGGGUGCAGGAGGAGGAAAUGAGCUGCUUUUCUGCUGUUUUGUGCAAGUCUACUUCACACGGUGAUCCACAAAGUGGCAAAACACCGUGCCAAGGAAAAGACACGCAGCCAGGAGCGACCGUUCCUUCUCUGGCAGCCCUGCAUGGAGGAGAAACUUCCACACGCGACCCUGCCCUGCCUCAGGAAGUGUGGUUCAAAGAGGGGAAGGAAAUGAGAUGGAAAAGGGCGGGGGGAAGGCUCAUUUACUGCUGGGGAGCUGCCUCUAGACCCAUGGGGAAAGCCAGCAUUAGGGCUAGGGAGAGAUUACCACUGUUUACUGAGAAGCUUAGCGGGAAACACAUGGGGAAAGUCAUAUGGUCGGUCUGUAAGAAUUCAUCCAUGUUCCCGUUCUCCUCCCAUUCUCUCACAGCCUGGAAGUUGCCCUCUGAGGAGACCAUGCCACAGGGACAGCAGCAGGAGGAGGCAGAGCAGACGGGCAGGGAAGCCCUUCAGGGAGCUGAAAUUUCAUGUUGCUCUGUGUCUGUGGGAAUCCCAGCAGCACUGCACCACAGGGAGCGGUACCUCUCAAAGUGAUGUUUCUGCAUUUGCAACCCUGGCGUGCAGCGUUCCAAGGUGACUUAAUUCAGCAGAGGAUUCACACGCUGACUGGAGCCAUUGGUGUACAUCUUUGUCUGCUGAUACGGUGUCUGCACUAACAUGGAAAUUUUCGUUUCUUGGAAAGUGUUAAAAUCUAAUACAUAAAUGUUGAUUUUUUUUUAAUGUGCUCCUGGGGCUUUUUCAUCUAUGCCAGAAUUAAGUGCAAAGGGAAUUUUUACAGCCGACUUGUAAAUUCCUGACAAGAGGAGUUUAUAAUAGAAGUGUUGACAUAACCUUAACUACAGUGACAACCAAAGCUGGUUUGUUAGGAAAGCAGCAAAUAAUUUUCUUGCAGGAAGGCAGGAGUUGGGCAUAGAAGGUGAGGCAGCUAAAUUUUUUUUUCCCUGAGAAUCCCCGGAGGCUAUUGUGUGAGACAGCACGUGAAAUGAAGCUGAAGCAAAUCGCAUAGCAGGCAGAGGAAGAAACACUCUGGAAUUCGCUCAUUUUCAUGAAGGAGAAGGUGCAGUUAUCCUCUUAUAAUUUUUUUUACAAGCUGUGUUUCUCCCCUCAGAGGUAAUCACGAGGGUCUGACAGCAAGUCGGUGCCUGCUUUUGGCCUUCCAGCUGGCUCUUACUUCGUUCUUUGUCCUGCAGCAGUCAGGAGUGAACUCUGGUGCCUCAGCUCCAUGCCUGCACCAGGAGCAGGAACCAGCCCUUUGUUUGCAAUCUGUCUGUGUCUCUUACAAGCAAUAAUUUUUUUAAAUGCCACUAAAUCAGAUUUAUUUCCUUGAGUCGCCCACAAGAAUUCAAAACCUAAGAACUUAAACACCCAGCAAUAGAUGGACAAGCUUUUGUGUUGGAGGCUGAGCCGUGACCCGAGCUCCUGGUCCAACAGACACUUCUGUCACUUACAGGAGAACUGAGCCUGUUGAGAGACAGAGGUGGGUUUGGCUGAAACCUGAAGCAAAGGAGCCCGUGUAGAGCUGAUUUUAGUGCCUUUAUUUCCCAAAGUCAGGGGUUUGUGUCAUACCCAUCACUUCCCUCCUGUGAGUGAGGGCAAGAGAAGUUUUUCAUCUCUUCUUGCAGACAUUAAAUCGGGAGGGCAGAAGAGAGAUUGUGCCCACGUUCACCAUCCUGCAGCACAACCUGCACAGGGCCGGGCUGUGGCGUUGCUCAGAAGCGGUUCAGAAGUCAUUGCGUGCUCCCAGCCCCUGUCCCACAGCCAUCUGCCAGCUCCUGCCCUCCCUGAUUCUUUGUGAUUACCUUCUAAACGGUGGCCUAUUUCACAAAACGUUUGACUAAGUCUUCCUUACAUCUUCGUUGAAAUUUUGCAUGCAGAGAAGCAGUUAGCUCCCCGGAAAGCAGCAGGAUUUACUGUGAGCUGGCACACUCCGGAGCCGUGAGAGGUGCUGGGAAGAAGGUGUGAAUGGCCGGCUGCCUCCCUGCCCUGUCUGUCUGACCCCAGAGUGUUUGGCAAAACCCUGAAGUAACUUUCCUGGAAACGUGGAAGGUCCAGGGACAGAAUAUUCAGCAUAGAGUAAAUUAAAUAUGAUACUGAAAGCAGAGAAAAGGGCAGCUCUGAAAAUGGGAAAGCCAGAGCUAAAUCUCUCAGUAUUUCCUAAUUAUUUAUGGGCGGCUAUGGCCCACGGAGCUUGCAAUCAAAAUGCAGGAGCUAUUGCUGAGAGACAGAGCAACCCAAGCAGAGGGUGACCGAGCAGCCCUGCUGAAUGCUUCCUGUGAGCAGUGAUGGAUUUGUAACCCCCCUUUGCGCUAUGGCAGGGGUGAAAGGGCAACGGGAGCUGGUCUGGCAGGAUGGCAGAGAGAAGGGAAGAUGGACCAGCAACAACAGCAUAGCACAGAGGUGUGAAGGAAAGCAAAAACUGCUGACGCCUCAUUUGCACUCUCCCCAUUAAAACAAGAUUUUUUAUCCUUCCCUAUAUCCUGGCUUUAUUUCUAAUAAAUACUGAAAUAUAAUCCCCA